RNAcentral lists this small RNA (143 nucleotides) under Flavobacterium aquatile LMG 4008 = ATCC 11947. Its description in RNAcentral is "Flavobacterium aquatile LMG 4008 Flavo-1 RNA". It matches the Rfam family "Flavo-1 RNA". Lineage: Bacteria; Pseudomonadati; Bacteroidota; Flavobacteriia; Flavobacteriales; Flavobacteriaceae. The record is from Rfam by way of RNAcentral.
UUUUGCCCCAGAUUGUAGUGGAAAGCUUUUAUUGAAGAAAGCUAGUUUUUGUUAGGAUAAAAAAGCGACCAACGGAAGCUCUUUUUAUUCUUUACAAAAACAGCUUUGUGAAAUAAAACUUGCAACGGAAAGCUGGAUUAGGC